Molecule: long non-coding RNA, 1617 nt
Filed under: Ananas comosus (pineapple)
Lineage: Eukaryota; Viridiplantae; Streptophyta; Magnoliopsida; Poales; Bromeliaceae
Description: long non-coding RNA (ACOM_LNC014130)
Source: RNAcentral
AAAAUAAAGAGGAAUGAAGUGAUUUUCGACAAUGAUCACUACAACAAAAACGGUCUAUAGUGACACUUUUAAAUAUAGGUACAUGUCAAAAAAGUGCUGCUAGCUAAAAUUACCGACACUUUUAAAAAGUGUUGCUAUAUGUGGGGUCGCUAGGUAUAUAGUGACAGUUAAAGAGUGUCGCUAUAACCUAAAAGAGUGCUGCUAAUUUACCAACACUUAUUUAAGCAUUUAGCAACCGCCGAAACACUAUCUCGUUGGCUGCGGUGGCGGAGGAGGACGACAGGAAAGGCUCUUCGUCUAGAAUGAGUGAAGAGAGAAGAAAAUAUGGUAAUUAAUUUUUCUUUUUUUUUUCUGUUUGUAAUCGGGCCAAAUGGACUGGAUGUGGUGGGUUGAGUAGAGUAAUCUUUUAUUUUUGGUUGGAUUGGGCUUUAUAUUUAGGCAUUAGUAGAUGUUUUUUUUAAGUUUUAAGAUAAAUGGGACACUUACUCAACAGUGUCCCAAACAUGUGUCUCUAUAACCUAAUUCUGUUGUAGUGAAUAUAUAUCACUUUUACUUGAAACUCAAGUUUUUUAAAAUAGUGUAAUUAAUUUUAACCCAUCGUAAGUCAAAGUCAAUUACAAGAAAAAUAAAAAAAAAAAAGAGUAAACUUUAAGUACCACCCCCUGUGGUCUCGCACGUUCCCACUUUAGUGCCCUAUAAUUUAAAGUUUAUCAUAUUAGUGUCCUGUGGUUUUAUUUUUAUCUUUUCGUCAGAUUUUCCGUUGAUAUUUCGUUAAAUUAUAUACAAAAAACUUCAAAUACUCCAUCUAGGUUUAUCGAAUAUUCAUUUUACUACCUUUUAGUUUUAACUUUUGUCACUGAUUUAACGAAAAAAAUUAGUGCAAUCAAUAAUAAAAAGAUAAAAAUAAAACCACAUGGUACUAAAUUGAUACACUUUAAAUCACAGGGUACUAAAGUGAGAAAGUGUGAAACCACAGAAGUGAUAUUUGAAUUUUUUUCAAAAAAACUGAGAAAAAAAAAUAUAUAUUAAUUCAUCUCUCGCACCUUCAGUUUUUACGCAAUUUACUUUCUAGUAAUAAAUAGCUGAGUUACAUGAGUUACUAAGCUAUACAAAGAAAUAAUGAAGAGAAAAUAAUUUUUAACUGAAGUCAACUUUACUCGGAAGUCUACUUCAACCUAGCUAAACUUUACGUUCGGUAAAACAAACAGACUUUUGUUAUAUUUAUGCUUAGAUAUAUAAGAUGAAAGCCCAACCACCAUGUUAUAAUCUAUUUUUAGCCCCCGUUUAUUUGUUAAGAGUUAUUUAAUACUAUUGAGUCAAAAUACUCUUGCGACUUUCGGUGGAACAGUAAAAAUUAUCAUAAUCGAAUAAUUGCUAUAUAUAUAUACAUGUUGUGAUGUUCUUUUUAUAAAAAUAAAUAAAAUAUUUUUCAUCAUACUUUUUCAUCAUACAUAACAUGUUGUGAUGUUCUUUUUAUAAAAAUAAAUAAAAUAUUUUUCAUCAUACUUUUUCAUCAUACAUAACAUGUUGUGAUGUUCUUUUUAUAAAAAUAAAUAAAAUAUUUUACAUCAUACUUUUUCAUCGUACAUAACGUAUAAUCUUUAUAUAAUACUCAAU